GAUGAACGCUAGCGGCAGGCUUAACACAUGCAAGUCGAGGGGUAACAGGGGUGCUUGCACUCGCUGACGACCGGCGCACGGGUGAGUAACGCGUAUGCAACCUACCCAUAACUGGGGAAUAGCUUUCGGAAACGAAAAUUAAUACCCCAUAGUAUUAUAAUACCGCAUGGUAUAAUAAUUAAAGUUCCGACGGUUAUGGAUGGGCAUGCGUGCCAUUAGUUAGUUGGUGAGGUAACGGCUCACCAAGGCGAUGAUGGCUAGGGGGUCUUAAAGGAUGGUCCCCCACACUGGUACUGAGACACGGACCAGACUCCUACGGGAGGCAGCAGUGAGGAAUAUUGGUCAAUGGGCGCAAGCCUGAACCAGCCAUGCCGCGUGCAGGAAGACGGCCCUAUGGGUUGUAAACUGCUUUUAUAUAGGAAGAAAAUGUUCUACGUGUAGAGCACUGACGGUACUAUAAGAAUAAGCAUCGGCUAACUCCGUGCCAGCAGCCGCGGUAAUACGGAGGAUGCAAGCGUUAUCCGGAUUUAUUAGGUUUAAAGGGUGUGUAGGCGGAAUUUUAAGUCAGUGGUGAAAUCUCACAUCUCAACUGUGAACUGCCAUUGAUACUGAUGUUCUUGAAUAUAGUUGAGGUAGGCGGAAUGUGUAAUGUAGCGGUGAAAUGCUUAGAUAUUACACAGAACACCGAUUGCGAAGGCAGCUUACUAAACUAUUAUUGACGCUGAUGUACGAAAGCGUGGGGAGCGAACAGGAUUAGAUACCCUGGUAGUCCACGCCGUAAACGAUGAUCACUCGUUGUUUGUGAUAUACAAUAAGCGACCGAGCGAAAGCAUUAAGUGAUCCACCUGGGGAGUACGUUCGCAAGAAUGAAACUCAAAGGAAUUGACGGGGGCCCGCACAAGCGGAGGAACAUGUGGUUUAAUUCGAUGAUACGCGAGGAACCUUACCUGGGUUUAAAUGUAGAUUGCAUGAUCGGGAAACUGAUCUUUCCUUCGGGACUAUUUACAAGGUGCUGCAUGGUUGUCGUCAGCUCGUGCCGUGAGGUGUCGGGUUAAGUCCCAUAACGAGCGCAACCCUCAUUGCCAGUUGCCAUCACGUAAAGGUGGGGACUCUGGUGAAACUGCCGGUGUAAACCGCGAGGAAGGUGGGGAUGACGUCAAAUCAGCACGGCCCUUAUGUCCAGGGCUACACACGUGUUACAAUGGCCAAUACAAUGGGCAGCCACCUGGCAACAGGGAGCAAAUCCACAAAAUUGGUCUUAGUUCGGAUCGGAGUCUGCAACUCGACUCCGUGAAGCUGGAUUCGCUAGUAAUCGUACAUCAGCAAUGGUACGGUGAAUACGUUCCCGGGCCUUGUACACACCGCCCGUCAAGCCAUGGAAGUUGGGGGUGCCUGAAGUCCGUAACCGCAAGGAUCGGCCUAGGGUAAAACCGAUGACUGGGGCU
Molecule: ribosomal RNA, 1445 nt
Filed under: uncultured prokaryote
Description: partial 16S ribosomal RNA
Rfam family: Bacterial small subunit ribosomal RNA
Source: RNAcentral